AGGAUAAACGCUGGCGGCGUGCCUAAUGCAUGCAAGUCGAACGGGACGCUCUUCGGGGCACGACCGUGGCGGACGGGUGAGGAACACGUAGCUGACCUGCCCUGGUGUGGGGGAUAUCCUCCGGAAACGGAGUGUAAGACCGCAUGAGCUUCAGUUGGGGGACCGACUGAAGGAAAGUCGCAAGACGCACCUGGAGGGGGCUGCGGCCGAUUAGCUAGUUGGUGAGGUAACGGCUCACCAAGGCGAUGAUCGGUAGCUGGUCUGAGAGGACGAUCAGCCACACGGGGACUGAGACACGGCCCCGACUCCUACGGGAGGCAGCAGCAAGGAAUUUCCACAAUGGGCGCAAGCCUGAUGGAGCAACGCCGCGUGGGAUGACGCGCUUCGGCGUGUAACUCCUUUUCGAGGGACGAAGCUAAUGACGGUACCCUCGGAAGAAGGAUCGGCUAACUACGUGCCAGCAGCCGC
RNAcentral lists this ribosomal RNA (468 nucleotides) under uncultured soil bacterium. RNAcentral describes it as "bacterial SSU rRNA". It matches the Rfam family "Bacterial small subunit ribosomal RNA", at positions 26 to 518 of the family's 1533-position model. The record is from RNAcentral.